AACCCCCGCCGGGUAGAAUGACGUAGCGACACCGCGUGAGCGAAGAAGCCUUUUGGGGUGUAAAGCUCUGUCAGCUGGAACGAACACAAUGACGGUACCAGCAGAGGAAGCAUCGGCUAACUACGUGCCAGCAGCCGCGGUAAGACGUAGGAUGCAAGCGUUGUCCGGAUUUAUUGGGCGUAAAGAGUUCGUAGGCGGUUAGUUAAGUCUGGUGUUAAAUACCGUGGCCCAACCACGGAGCUGCAUCAGAUACUGGCUAACUUGAGUGCGGUAGAGGCGAGUGGAAUUCCCAGUGUAGCGGUGAAAUGCGUAGAUAUUGGGAAGAACACCAGUGGCGUAAGCGACUCGCUGGGCCGUAACUGACGCUGAGGAACGAAAGCCAGGGGAGCGAAUGGGAUUAGAUACCCCCAGUAGUCAA
RNAcentral lists this ribosomal RNA (418 nucleotides) under uncultured eukaryote. RNAcentral's name for it is "bacterial SSU rRNA". It matches the Rfam family "Bacterial small subunit ribosomal RNA", at positions 370 to 797 of the family's 1533-position model. The record is from RNAcentral.